Molecule: long non-coding RNA, 2558 nt
Filed under: Homo sapiens (human)
Lineage: Eukaryota; Metazoa; Chordata; Mammalia; Primates; Hominidae
Description: PREDICTED lncRNA (TCONS_00107521)
Source: RNAcentral
AUUUCUUUUUCUAAAAAAAGAAUUUUCCUCUAAGUUCCCCUUUUUAAAUGAGCUUUUUAGCCUGGAUAAUUAUGCAGUGCUAGAACCUUAACUGCAUGAUCAAACCCAACCUUGCUUGUUUAUAACAGCAUUUGACAGCCUCGUGACUCUCACAUAGGGAAAAAGUCUCGCCUGAAAACCCAUGCUAAGCUGCAUGUCUUGAGCUGUGCCAAUUUGUAUUCCAGGCAGCCUAAGGUUCCCAUCGUGAGUUUCAGGAAGGGAAAUUCAUGGAGGAAGUUCACCUCUGGAAGGGUUGUAGAUGAGCAUGAGAGUGUGGAGCAGAGUCGGCGAGCGCAAGUCGAGCCCAUCAACCUGGACAGCUGUCUCCGUGCUUUCACCGGUGAGGAAGAGCUAGGGGAAGAUGAGAUGUACUACUGUUCCAAGUGUAAGACCCACUGCUUAGCAACAAAGAAGCUGGAUCUCUGGAGGCUUCCACCCUUCCUGAUUAUUCACCUUAAGUGAUUUCAGUUUGUAAAUGAUCAGUGGAUAAAAUCACAGAAAAUUGUCAAAUUUCCUCGGGAAAGUUUUGACCUGAGUGCUUUUUUGGUACCACGAGACCCGGCUCUCUGCCAGCAUCAACCACUCACACCCCAGGGGGAUGAGCUCUCCAAGCCCAGGAUUCUGGCAAGAGAGGUGAAGAAAGUGGAUGUGCAGAGUUUGGCUGGGGAAUAGGACAUGCUCCUGAGCAAAAGCCCAUCCUCACUCAGCGCUAACAUCAGCAGCAGCCCAAAAGAGAUGGUGCUUCGCCAUGUUUCCCAGGCUGGGCUCGAACUCCUGCACCCAAGUGAACCUCCUGCUUCGGCCUCCUAAACUGCUGGGAUUACAGGUUCUCCUUCUUCAUCAAGAAAAAGUGGAACCAGCUGUCCCUCCAGCAAAAACAGCAGCCCUAAUAGCAGCCCACGGACUUUGGGGAGGAGCAAAGGGAGGCUCUGGCUGCCCCAGAUUGGCAGCAAAAAUAAACUGUCAAGUAGUAAGAAGAACUUGGAUGCCAGCAAAGAGAAUGGGGCUGGGCAGAUCUGUGAGCUGGCUGACGCCUUGAGCCGAGGGCAUAUGCGGGGGGUGGGCAGCCAACCAGAGCUGGUCACUCCUCAGGACCAUGAGGUAGCUUUGGCCAAUGGAUUCCUUUAUGAGCAUGAAGCAUAUGGCAAUGGCUAUAGCAAUGGUCAGCUUGGAAACCACAGUGAAGAAGACAGCACUGAUGACCAAAGAGAAGACACUCAUAUUAAGCCUAUUUAUAUGCAAUUUCAGUAAGUGGUUUAUUGUAUGGUUUUCGGAGAGUGGUCUGUGUUUUGUUCACUUGUCUUCAUGUAUUCAUCAGCAAGUAUUUUUCAGGUCCUGCUUAUUUCCUAGCAUUGAGCUUAGUGAUAGAGAAAGUUAACAUAGAAAUCUGGGCCUGCCCAGGUGUGGUGGCUCACACCUGUAAUCCCAGCACUUUAGAAGGCUGAGGCAGAAGGAUCGCUUGAGCCCAGGAGUUUGAGACCAGCCUGGGCCCCAUCUCUACAAAUAAUUUUAAAAUGGAGCGAGGUAUGGUGGCAUUGCCUGUGGUCCCAGCUACUUGGAAGGCUGAGGCAGAAGGAUCACCUGAGCCCAGGAGGCCAAGUCUUUAGAGAGUUGUGAUCACUCGACUGCACCCCAGCCUGGGUGAUAGAGCAAGCCCCUGUCUCAAAAUAAUAAUAAUAAUAGUAAUUACAUUAUAAAAUGAUUGUUUAUCCACACAAGACUUGGAGCUUAUGACUUUUGUAUUUUGCUUUUUGCUUAUUUUGGUUUUAGAGAAAGUUAGAGGGUUCUAAAAUAUUUUCUCACCUACUGAUCAUUUACAUGAUCACUGUUCUCCUGCUCAGAUCCUAGUGCUAUACCCUGGCCAUAGUACAGUUAACUACUAACAUACAUCCACUCUCUUAUCUCUUACAGUGCCAUUCAGGAAUUCUGAGUGGGGGCCAUUACGUCACUUAUGCCAAAAACCCAAACUGCAAGUGGUACUGCUACAAUGGCAGCAUCUGUGAGGUAAACAUUCUCAAUCUUUGAAUGAAAGUUAGAAACAAUCAACAGAACUGGGGAACAUUUUUUGAAAUAAUGGACUAUCUCUUGAAUAGGAAAUAGAUAUUUCUGUUAGAAUCAAUAUAUAGAUGCUGUCAGUAUUAAAGAAACAAAAGUGAUAUGCAGAAUAGGGAAUGAAAACAUGAGUAGCGAGGAAAAAUAAAGAGUUAGUUGACCGGGCGCAGUGGCUCAUGCCUGUAAUCCCAGCACUUUGGGAGGCUGAGGCAGGCUUAGGAGGUGGAUCACUUGAUGUCAGGAGUUCAAGACCAGACUGGCCAACAUGGUGAAACCCCAUCUCUGCUAAAAAUACAAAAAUUAGUUGGGCAUGUUGGCACAUGCCUGUAAUCCCAGCUACUCAGGAGGCUGAGGCAGGAGAAUGGCUUGAACCUGGGAGGUGGAGGUUGCAGUGAGCCAAGACUGCACCGCUGCACUCCAGCCUGGGCAACAGAGCAAGACUCUGUCUCAAAAAAAAAAAAAAAAAA